UCUCCCUCUGUUGCCCCUCGGCUGCCCCUCAACGGUCGCCGUUUCGCCCAUUCUUUUUGCCAGGAGAAAAGCCCCAGCAACUGCCUGCUUUCCAUGGCCCGAAAAGCUUUGACGGAGCUUGACAGAGCAAAGGAAAAGAAAUAGGUUCUGUCAGAGGGUCCGGUCCACGGACCUCACCGCUCUCACUCUGGGCGGGAUCGGGCAGCCGUCUGUCUGGUUCCUGGCUUCCCUCAGAGCCCCCGUGGUAGAACCGGCCCAGAUUUUGGCAAAUCGAAGAGAUGAACACUUCGUCGGCCGGUUCCCCUAUUGGCCAGGGUCUCCUUGCCCACCUGCGGGUCUCCCACUCCUCACAGGCCCCUUGAAGGUCCCCAAGCAAAGGGUCUCCAUGAGCAGCCUUACAGUAGCAGCCAAAGGAGCAUCGUUGGAGCGUGUGAAGGACGGAUCAAGGGCUACAGCCCAGUCAAGUGGGGCGGUGGAGAAUCGGAACGAAGCGGCUUCCCACAGAUGCAGAGGUUCACACAGGAUUGAGUAAAUUCACUGGGAACACCA
Ornithorhynchus anatinus (platypus) is the source of this 549-nucleotide long non-coding RNA. RefSeq lists it as uncharacterized. The transcript has 2 exons. The record is from RefSeq and is a predicted model, not a curated record. NCBI's taxonomy places the organism in Eukaryota, Metazoa, Chordata, Mammalia, Monotremata, Ornithorhynchidae.